GACGAACGCUGGCGGCGUGCUUAACACAUGCAAGUCGAACGGAAAGGCCCUGCUUUUGUGGGGCGCUCGAGUGGCGAACGGGUGAGUAACACGUGAGUAACCUGCCCUUGACUUUGGGAUAACUUCAGGAAACUGGGGCUAAUACCGGAUAGGAGCUCCUGCUGCAUGGUGGGGGUUGGAAAGUUUCGGCGGUUGGGGAUGGACUCGCGGCUUAUCAGCUUGUUGGUGGGGUAGUGGCUUACCAAGGCUUUGACGGGUAGCCGGCCUGAGAGGGUGACCGGCCACAUUGGGACUGAGAUACGGCCCAGACUCCUACGGGAGGCAGCAGUGGGGAAUAUUGCACAAUGGGCGGAAGCCUGAUGCAGCAACGCCGCGUGCGGGAUGACGGCCUUCGGGUUGUAAACCGCUUUCGCCUGUGACGAAGCGUGAGUGACGGUAAUGGGUAAAGAAGCACCGGCUAACUACGUGCCAGCAGCCGCGGUGAUACGUAGGGUGCGAGCGUUGUCCGGAUUUAUUGGGCGUAAAGGGCUCGUAGGUGGUUGAUCGCGUCGGAAGUGUAAUCUUGGGGCUUAACCCUGAGCGUGCUUUCGAUACGGGUUGACUUGAGGAAGGUAGGGGAGAAUGGAAUUCCUGGUGGAGCGGUGGAAUGCGCAGAUAUCAGGAGGAACACCAGUGGCGAAGGCGGUUCUCUGGGCCUUUCCUGACGCUGAGGAGCGAAAGCGUGGGGAGCGAACAGGCUUAGAUACCCUGGUAGUCCACGCUGUAAACGGUGGGUACUAGGUGUGGGGUCCAUUCCACGGGUUCCGUGCCGUAGCUAACGCUUUAAGUACCCCGCCUGGGGAGUACGGCCGCAAGGCUAAAACUCAAAGGAAUUAACGGGGCCCCGCACAAGCGGCGGAGCAUGCGGAUUAAUUCGAUGCAACGCGUAGAACCUUACCUGGGUUUGACAUGGAUCGGGAGUGCUCAGAGAUGGGUGUGCCUCUUUUGGGGUCGGUUCACAGGUGGUGCAUGGCUGUCGUCAGCUCGUGUCGUGAGAUGUUGGGUUAAGUCCCGCAACGAGCGCAACCCUUGUUCACUGUUGCCAGCACGUUAUGGUGGGGACUCAGUGGAGACCGCCGGGGUCAACUCGGAGGAAGGUGGGGAUGACGUCAAGUCAUCAUGCCCCCUAUGUCCAGGGCUUCACGCAUGCUACAAUGGCUGGUACAGAGAGUGGCGAGCCUGUGAGGGUGAGCGAAUCUCGGAAAGCCGGUCUCAGUUCGGAUUGGGGUCUGCAACUCGACCUCAUGAAGUCGGAGUCGCUAGUAAUCGCAGAUCAGCAACGCUGCGGUGAAUACGUUCCCGGGGCU
Molecule: ribosomal RNA, 1346 nt
Filed under: uncultured bacterium
Lineage: Bacteria
Description: partial 16S ribosomal RNA
Rfam family: Bacterial small subunit ribosomal RNA
Source: RNAcentral